This 445-nucleotide ribosomal RNA is filed under the name uncultured Hydrogenophaga sp. RNAcentral's name for it is "bacterial SSU rRNA". It matches the Rfam family "Bacterial small subunit ribosomal RNA", at positions 929 to 1382 of the family's 1533-position model. The record is from RNAcentral. Lineage: Bacteria; Pseudomonadati; Pseudomonadota; Betaproteobacteria; Burkholderiales; Comamonadaceae.
GCGGUGAGCAUGUGGUUAAUUCGAUGAUACGCGAAGAACCUUACCGGGUUUGACAUGCAGGUGAUCGCCGUUGAAAGACGGUUUCCUCUUCGGAGGCACCUGCACAGGUGCUGCAUGGCUGUCGUCAGCUCGUGUCAUGAGAUGUUGGGCUAAGUCCCGCAACGAGCGCAACCCUUGUCAUUAGUUGCUACGAAAGGGCACUCUAAUGAGACUGCCGGUGACAAACCGGAGGAAGGUGGGGAUGACGUCAAGUCCUCAUGGCCCUUAUAGGUGGGGCUACACACGUCAUACAAUGGCUGGUACAAAGGGUUGCCAACCCGCGAGGGGGAGCCAAUCCCAUAAAGCCAGUCGUAGUCCGGAUCGCAGUCUGCAACUCGACUGCGUGAAGUCGGAAUCGCUAGUAAUCGUGGAUCAGCAUGUCACGGUGAAUACGUUCCCGGGUCUU